Molecule: non-coding RNA, 186 nt
Filed under: Nitrospirota bacterium
Lineage: Bacteria; Pseudomonadati; Nitrospirota
Description: Nitrospirae bacterium 6S RNA
Rfam family: 6S / SsrS RNA
About the family: E. coli 6S RNA was the first non coding RNA to be sequenced, but its function was unknown until recently. It consists of 184 nucleotides that fold into an extended hairpin structure with a large single-stranded internal bulge.
Source: RNAcentral
CAUUACCUGCCCUGUAGGUGAUAUAUGAAAAAGUUGAUCCGGCAAAUUAGAUCUUUCGGGAGCCAGUGUAUGCUGCUGGUGUGCAUGUUGCCUUUUUGGCAAAAGCCUGAAGGCAGCAUUAUGGCACCCACCUAUAUCAAAAUAGGCGGAUCUGAUUUUUCAUGUACACGACAGGGCGGGAACUCA